This 292-nucleotide ribosomal RNA is filed under the name uncultured bacterium. Its description in RNAcentral is "partial 16S ribosomal RNA". It matches the Rfam family "Bacterial small subunit ribosomal RNA", at positions 505 to 796 of the family's 1533-position model. The record is from RNAcentral.
GUGUCAGCAGCCGCGGUAAUACGAAGGGGGCUAGCGUUGCUCGGAAUUACUGGGCGUAAAGGGAGCGUAGGCGGACAGCUAAGUCAGAGGUGAAAGCCCAGGGCUCAACCCUGGAAUUGCCUUUGAUACUGGCUAUCUUGAGUAUGGGAGAGGUGUGUGGAACUCCGAGUGUAGAGGUGAAAUUCGUAGAUAUUCGGAAGAACACCAGUGGCGAAGGCGACACACUGGCCCAUUACUGACGCUGAGGCUCGAAAGCGUGGGGAGCAAACAGGAUUAGAUACCCCGGUAGUCC